UUCUUGAUAGUCCAGAGGCUAAGACACUACACUCUCAAUGCAAGGGACCCAGGUUUGAUUCUUGGUCAGGGAA
This 73-nucleotide transfer RNA is filed under the name Ovis aries (sheep). It matches the Rfam family "tRNA". Rfam says of the family: Transfer RNA (tRNA) molecules are approximately 80 nucleotides in length. Their secondary structure includes four short double-helical elements and three loops (D, anti-codon, and T loops). Further hydrogen bonds mediate the characteristic L-shaped molecular structure. tRNAs have two regions of fundamental functional importance: the anti-codon, which is responsible for specific mRNA codon recognition, and the 3' end, to which the tRNAs corresponding amino acid is attached (by aminoacyl-tRNA synthetases). tRNAs cope with the degeneracy of the genetic code in two manners: having more than one tRNA (with a specific anti-codon) for a particular amino acid; and 'wobble' base-pairing, i.e. permitting non-standard base-pairing at the 3rd anti-codon position. Lineage: Eukaryota; Metazoa; Chordata; Mammalia; Artiodactyla; Bovidae. The record is from Rfam by way of RNAcentral.